GCAGGCAGCACUGCUGUGAACACCCAGCAAGCAAGGCUGUUCUUGGAGGCAGGGCAGGCAGCACUGCUGUGAACACCCAGCACGCAAGGCUGUUCUUGGACCCACGAUCCUUGCAGGGCGCAGUUGUCUGUGGAAGGUGAACGGAAGGCGAAGGAGCACAGAUGUCACAGAAGACGGUGGGCAUCAACGUGUGCCAUGAAGCGAGAGUCUAGGGUCAGCCCCAGCCUUGCUCUCCGUGGGCUGUGCGCCAAGUGACCCUAGAGCACCUCUCAGCCUCCCUCUAUUCUGGGAAAUGGAAAUCCCCAUAGUUAGCUCCCGGCAACCCCACAUGUUGGACCUCAGCAGUGUCCAAGAGUGUUAGCCAAAACCAAAUUUAGCUUGGGCAGUUCUCACAAGUCUCUCCCAAUGAAGAUGGUUAUGAAGUUCUCCUGCAAACCUCCACUUGUCAUGAUGAAACACCAGGGACCGCACCUCAAACCCUGCCGUAAUCAACAGGAAACCUGGGUAGAACGGCGAUAAAUCCGCAGCUUUGCCUUGCUGUUACGCAGAAGCGAUGACACAACCUAGAUCACCGUUGCAAGGGCUUCUCUGAUAAAUCACAGUUCAUGAAAACAUGGAACAUGAUGUCGCCAUUAAUACAAGAACUAGAAACCAUUUAUGGAUUAAAGUAGAAAUAUCCUUAAAAUAAAGUGCUAUGGUUUUUUGGCUUUGUUUGUUUUUAGAUGAAGUCUCUCUGUGUCUGUUGCCCAAGCUGGAGUGCAGUGGCACGAUCUUGG
Molecule: long non-coding RNA, 776 nt
Filed under: Homo sapiens (human)
Lineage: Eukaryota; Metazoa; Chordata; Mammalia; Primates; Hominidae
Description: HSALNT0132104
Source: RNAcentral